Molecule: long non-coding RNA, 1410 nt
Organism: Daucus carota subsp. sativus
Lineage: Eukaryota; Viridiplantae; Streptophyta; Magnoliopsida; Apiales; Apiaceae
Exons: 5
Source: RefSeq, a predicted model, not a curated record
UAAUUAACGGGGGUGUAUUCGAUUGGGAUUUUAAUGCAUUGUUUUUAGUCUAUGGAUUUUAAUGGAUUGUAUGGGAUUUUGAUUUUGUGCGGAUUCUUGAUGAAAUGUCGUAGAAUUGAUAGGAUUUAGGUACAAUGCUUCAAAAUCCCAUUGAAUUUGAUGGGAUUUCAAAAAACUUAAAAUACACUGAAGAAUGCCACAAAAUCCAUCAUUUUAUGAAAUGAAAAAAAAUCCAUCAGCAUUUGAAUACCAUCAGAUUUUAAUGGAUUUUAAACAAUCCCAAUUGAAUACCAUCGGAUUUUAAAGCAUAAUUUAAAAUCCCAAUUGAAUACCACCAGAUUUUGUGGCAUAAUUUAAAAUCCCAAUUGAAUACCUCAAGAUUUUAAUGGAUUUCAAACAAUCCCAAUCGAAUACCCUCGAAUUUCAUGAAUGCAAAAAAAUCCUUUAAAAUCCCAAUCCAAUACACCCCUCUAAAUCCUAAAUUAUAGCAAUCAUGUUAGUGGCACGCGGGUAAAGAAAAUUCGAAUUUUUGUUUGCUCUCCUCACACCGUAGAACCGUGAUCUGCUUUUCCCACCGCAUCAUUUUCCUUCUUCUCCGACCUGCGUUGUCGACGGACCCGACCCGGUAGUUAACCUCCUACAGAUAUGGCAGCGUUCUUUUUUCUCCUCUCUUUUCCAAACGUGCUUACUUCUCGGAUUAAACUACUCUCAUCACACCAUCAUUCUGUUUAGACACCGAUCCAUUGUCGAAGAUACUAAGCGCCAGAUUACCAAAUCCCGGUUCUGGUGAUCAUAUCUGUUUUACAAGCACACAACUUAAACACAAUAAUCAUCUUUGACAUAUCCUGAUAUUCAAGUUUUUGCACAACCUUGAAACUGGGAAAAAGAGAAGAUAUAAUAAAUUUGUGACAUUCUAAAAAACGAUGAAGGGGAUUGGGUCAUGGACGUGUGUUGAUGCUAAGGAUGCCGAAAAACAAGUCAGCAUAAAAAACGAUGAAGGGGAUCAGGUUUGACCGGGAACUCAAUGUUUUCAUUAAUAAAACUUUAUGUUCGGAAUCCUCUUCAGACUCCCAGUACGAAACCAAGUUCACUUAUUAUUUUGCUAUAGUGGGCACUUCUACUGUAUGCGCGCGACAGCUCUCGACAAUCUUUUGGGAUUGAGAUCUUUUAAAUUAUCAGAUAUAGGAUGGGAAGAUCUUUCAAAGUAUAAGUAUACACAUUAUCAAACUCAAACUAUCCACGCAUCUUGGAAAGUUUAGCAUUAACAAGAAGAAAAGGUGAGCGACGCUAUAUUAGUGUUAUUGUGCCAGAGCACAACCAGGUGGAUCAUUGUGUCUUGACAUAUAAGGCAGUGCUGGCAUGUGAAAGUUUGAUUCCUAACUUUCAAAAUUAAUUUCUACUUAUUAUAGU